AGUGAACGCUGGCGUUAGGCCUAACACAUGCAAGUCGAACGGCAGCACAGUAAGAGCUUGCUCUUACGGGUGGCGAGUGGCGGACGGGUGAGGAAUACAUCGGAAUCUACUUUUUCGUGGGGGAUAGCGUAGGGAAACUUACGCUAAUACCGCAUACGACCUACGGGUGAAAGCAGGGGAUAUUCGGACCUUGCGCGAUUGAAUGAGCCGAUGUCGGAUUAGCUAGUUGGCGGGGUAAAGGCCCACCAAGGCGACGAUCCGUAGCUGGUCUGAGAGGAUGAUCAGCCACACUGGAACUGAGACACGGUCCAGACUCCUACGGGAGGCAGCAGUGGGGAAUAUUGGACAAUGGGCGCAAGCCUGAUCCAGCCAUACCGCGUGGGUGAAGAAGGCCUUCGGGUUGUAAAGCCCUUUUGUUGGGAAAGAAAAGCAGCAGGUUAAUACCCCGCUGUUCUGACGGUACCCAAAGAAUAAGCACCGGCUAACUUCGUG
RNAcentral lists this ribosomal RNA (492 nucleotides) under uncultured bacterium. RNAcentral's name for it is "partial 16S ribosomal RNA". It matches the Rfam family "Bacterial small subunit ribosomal RNA", at positions 29 to 507 of the family's 1533-position model. The record is from RNAcentral.